Molecule: long non-coding RNA, 284 nt
Filed under: Carica papaya (papaya)
Lineage: Eukaryota; Viridiplantae; Streptophyta; Magnoliopsida; Brassicales; Caricaceae
Description: long non-coding RNA (CPAP_LNC011900)
Source: RNAcentral
AGACUUUAUAACAUAACACUUACCACACCUUUGCAUUUCAAUCAUUAAACAACAUAUUUUCCUCAUUUACCAGCCUACUAGUAUCCAUGGGGAUCCAUAGGGGGUCCCUGCUACCCGUGAACUAUUAAUAUUUCAACCUGAUUCCAGGGCCGUCCCCAUACCCCGUCCGGUAUGGGCGCCUAAACCAUGAACUUCAAUACUCCGUCCGGUAUGUGGGUAAAACGGGCCGUCCUCAUUCCCCGUUCGGUAUGGGCGCCAAAACACAUAAGAUCUCCAUACCCCGU